AACGAACGCUGGCGGCAUGCCUAACACAUGCAAGUCGAACGAGACCUUCGGGUCUAGUGGCGCACGGGUGCGUAACGCGUGGGAACCUGCCCUUAGGUUCGGAAUAACUCCCCGAAAGGGGUGCUAAUACCGGACAAUGUCUUCGGACCAAAGAUUUAUCGCCUUUGGAUGGGCCCGCGUUGGAUUAGCUAGUUGGUAGGGUAAAAGCCUACCAAGGCGACGAUCCAUAGCUGGUCUGAGAGGAUGAUCAGCCACACUGGGACUGAGACACGGCCCAGACUCCUACGGGAGGCAGCAGUGGGGAAUAUUGGACAAUGGGCGAAGGCCUGAUCCAGCAAUGCCGCGUGAGUGAUGAAGGCCUUAGGGUUGUAAAGCUCUUUUACCCGGGAUGAUAAUGACAGUACCGAAAGAAUAAGCUCCGGCUAACUCCGUG
RNAcentral lists this ribosomal RNA (433 nucleotides) under uncultured bacterium. RNAcentral's name for it is "partial 16S ribosomal RNA". It matches the Rfam family "Bacterial small subunit ribosomal RNA", at positions 29 to 507 of the family's 1533-position model. The record is from RNAcentral.